This 464-nucleotide ribosomal RNA is filed under the name uncultured bacterium. Its description in RNAcentral is "bacterial SSU rRNA". It matches the Rfam family "Bacterial small subunit ribosomal RNA", at positions 331 to 792 of the family's 1533-position model. The record is from RNAcentral.
CCAGACUCCUACGGGAGGCAGCAGUGAGGAAUAUUGGUCAAUGGGCGGGAGCCUGAACCAGCCAAGCAGCGUGAGGGAAGAAGGUACAGCGUAUUGUAAACCUCUUUUGUCAGGGAACAAAGGCGCGGACUAGUCCCCGGAUGCGGGUACCUGAAGAAAAAGCAUCGGCUAAUUCCGUGCCAGCAGCCGCGGUAAUACGGAGGAUGCGAGCGUUAUCCGGAUUUAUUGGGUUUAAAGGGAGCGCAGGCGGCACGGCAAGCCUGAUGUGAAAUGCCGCGGCCCAACCGCGGGACUGCAUUGGGAACUACCGGGCUGGAGUGCCGGAGAGGUAGGCGGAAUUCCUAGUGUAGCGGUGAAAUGCGUAGAUAUUAGGAGGAACACCAGUGGCGAAGGCGGCCUACUGGACGGUAACUGACGCUGAGGCUCGAAAGCGUGGGGAGCAAACAGGAUUAGAUACCCGAGUA